RNAcentral lists this ribosomal RNA (511 nucleotides) under uncultured bacterium. Its description in RNAcentral is "bacterial SSU rRNA". It matches the Rfam family "Bacterial small subunit ribosomal RNA", at positions 264 to 766 of the family's 1533-position model. The record is from RNAcentral.
CUCACCAAGGCGACGAUCCGUAGCUGGUCUGAGAGGACGACCAGCCACACUGGAACUGAGACACGGUCCAGACUCCUACGGGAGGCAGCAGUGGGGAAUUUUGGACAAUGGGGGCAACCCUGAUCCAGCCAUUCCGCGUGAGUGAAGAAGGCCUUCGGGUUGUAAAGCUCUUUCAGCAGGAACGAAACGGUGGCCACUAAUACUGGCUACUAAUGACGGUACCUGAAGAAGAAGCACCGGCUAACUACGUGCCAGCAGCCGCGGUAAUACGUAGGGUGCGAGCGUUAAUCGGAAUUACUGGGCGUAAAGCGUGCGCAGGCGGUUCCAUAAGACAGAUGUGAAAUCCCCGGGCUUAACCUGGGGAACUGCGUUUGUGACUGUGGGACUCGAGUGUGGCAGAGGGGGGUGGAAUUCCACGUGUAGCAGUGAAAUGCGUAGAGAUGUGGAGGAACACCGAUGGCGAAGGCAGCCCCCUGGGUCAACACUGACGCUCAUGCACGAAAGCGUGGGG